Molecule: small nucleolar RNA, 135 nt
Filed under: Catagonus wagneri (Chacoan peccary)
Lineage: Eukaryota; Metazoa; Chordata; Mammalia; Artiodactyla; Tayassuidae
Source: RNAcentral
UUCCAAAGCGUUGAGUUCAGUUCAGGGCUGCUCCCCUGUUCUGUUAAUUAAACUUUGGGACAUUGAACUACAGGCUCGGGGAGAAGAUUGACUGGAGAGCACGACUCUGUUCAUUUACCUCCUCGGCCUACAGAG